RNAcentral lists this long non-coding RNA (1050 nucleotides) under Sus scrofa (pig). Its description in RNAcentral is "lncRNA (ENSSSCG00070023004.1)". Lineage: Eukaryota; Metazoa; Chordata; Mammalia; Artiodactyla; Suidae. The record is from RNAcentral.
UCCAGGAGAACAAAGCUAGAGCACCCAUUGCAUCCAGGGUCAGCAUCUCCCCCAAGGUCAGGGGGAAAGGGCUUUGGGGAGGGACUCUUGGCACACACCAGCAGAGAGUGCCACACACGUUAGAUGCUCAUGGGGGACUAUAGGGGAAGCCACAAACCACCAGAGAUGAGGGCUAGGGCAAAGUGGGGGCAGGGCAUCUCCCUCAGGGGUCCUGGUGCCACAUUUUGGACAGGCAAGGCACCCACCACAUGCCCCCCCACCAUACCUUCUGACUCUGCAGCUCACACCGUUGCAAAAGCAGCUUGCAGACCUUGCUGCGCUUCCGGAUCAGCUCCUGCUUGGAGGCUGACAGCAGGAGGCCCUAGGGGUCAAGGGUCCCGAUGAUGUCGAACCAUACCAGGCAGCCCUUGUAGUCAUAGCCGCGCAGACCACCCGAGUCAUACAGCUGGAUCACCUGGACGAAGGGAGAGGUCCUGUCUCAAAGCAGCCCAUCAGGCCAUGUCCUUGCUCCAUUGGGCAGCCAGAUAUGGUCAAAGUUCUGGGCUGCAAGAAGAAGCUGAAGUACGAGGAGGCUUGAGGCAGGAUGUAGAAUCAAAUGUACCCAGGCCUCAUAAGGUAACUUUCACUCUUUCAUAUAUUUUAUUUUAUUUUAUUUUAUUUUGUCUUUUGUCUUUUUUGUUGUUGUUGUUGUUGUUGUUGUUGCUAUUUCUUGGGCCACUCCCGUGGCAUAUGGAGGUUCCCAGGCUAGGGGUCAAAUCGGAGCUGUAGCCACCGGCCUACGCCAGAGCCACAGCAACCGGGAUCCGAGCCUCGUCUGCAACCUACACCACAGCUCACAGCAACGCCGGAUCGUUAACCCACUGAGCAAGGGCAGGGACCGAACCCGCAACCUCAUGGUUCCUAGUCGGAUUCGUUAACCACUGCGCCACGACGGGAACUCCCUAUUUUAUUUUAUUUAUUUAUUUUUUGCUUUUUAGGGCCAUACUUGUGGCAUAUGGAAGUUCCCAGGCUGGUGGUCUAAGUGGAGCUACAGUUGCUGGCCUACGCCAC